GCCAUAUCCCGUUGAAACACCUGUUUCCAUACGAUCACCAAAGUUAAGCAACGCCGGACCUGUUCAGUAUGUAGUGGUGUGACCGCUUGGGAAUACCAGGUAC
Non-coding RNA from Acanthosepion pharaonis, 103 nucleotides. Lineage: Eukaryota; Metazoa; Mollusca; Cephalopoda; Sepiida; Sepiidae. The record is from the annotation of a GenBank genome assembly.